GGUAAACGCUGGCGGCGUGCCUAAAACAUGCAAGUCGAACGGGCACCUUCGGGUGUCAGUGGCAGACGGCUGAGUAACGCGUGGGUGACGUACCUGUUGGUGGGGAAUAACUGCCCGAAAGGGUGGCUAAUUCCGCAUAAGCCCUUCGAUUCAGUUUGGAGGGGAAAGCCGCAAGGCGCCGAUGGAGCGGCCCGCGUCCGAUUAGCUAGCUGGUGGGGUAAGAGCCUACCAGGGCGAUGAUCGGUAGCUGGUCUGAGAGGACGAGCAGCCACACUGG
RNAcentral lists this ribosomal RNA (277 nucleotides) under uncultured bacterium. RNAcentral describes it as "partial 16S ribosomal RNA". It matches the Rfam family "Bacterial small subunit ribosomal RNA", at positions 28 to 316 of the family's 1533-position model. The record is from RNAcentral.